AAUGUCUUCUCUACCAAGUGAAUCUCUGACUCUACAAGUUUCCUUCCCAAGACACUGUGGUCCAGGGCUACCUCCCUUACAGCCUACAUGACAACAUGUGCAAAUUAUUUGUCAGCAUCUAAUUGCAAGAACGGUGAGGAAACCAAGGCACAGAGGUUAAACAACGUGUCCAAGCCACGUAGCAAGUAAACAAUUGAGCCAGGCUCCAAAUCCAAACGUUCUGGCGUCAGAGUCCUAUAAAGAUUUUUUUGGCCUAAUGUGAGGAAGUACUUUCUAAGAAUAAGAGUUUACCAAUUAAAAGGGGGUUGCUGUUUUAUGAAGAUAUUUAAACCAAGGCUGAGGGGCCAUUUUCAAGGGAUGCUGACUCGGUAAAAGUUCUUUGGCAGCAAGCAUCAGAAACCAAAUGUAACAACUUUAAGCUAAAAAAUAAAAAGAAGGAAGAGGAAGAAGAGAAGAUGGGGUUGAGGGAGGAGGACAGGAGAGCUGCCUGCCUAGAGGAAACAGGGAGCCUUUAGCCUGCUCCUCCAGGCUCAACAUUUGACAGGGGCAUGACCAUGUCCAGCAUUGCUGAGUAACUGGGAAGAGAAGCCCACUGUUGCUGCACACCCUACGCCAAGCCUUCAAACAGUCCCAGCAGUAAUCAAGGUGAUAUACUGACUUUUUUCUGACUGGCUCCUGUGUCUAUCUCUCUCAUUUUUUCUAACUUAGGCAAAGAAUGGGAAAGUCAUUUAUCAGGCCCCCCGAAAUCAUAUUGUUGAUCCUCUAAAUGACCUUAUCAAGUACGUACAAUCUUUAUUUGACAGAUGAAGACACUGAUGAACAGAAAGGUUAAAGAAUUUACUCAAGGUCAGUCAUCCAACAAAUGAGUUUAGAACCCAAACUUUUGGACCCCAAGUUAAAGCUCUUUCUCCGACUGCACUAUAAAGUAGGGGCUCAAUAAACGUGUGUUGAAAUGAAUCAAAACGGUGAGAGAAUAUUGCCAGGCAGCACAAAGCUUGGAUGAAAUUUUUCAAAAUUUUUGCUGGUGAUUUUAAGCUUCAGAUGAAGUCUUUGACAUUUACGAUUCUCUUAAUAAACACUUUAUAAAACUCCAAAUCCACGUUUCUGCCUUGAAGGAUCACCAUCAGUUGGAAUAUAUUUUUACGCUAUCCUCUGCCAUCUUUGAAGGAGGAACAGAUUAGGGAAAAAAUGCUUUAUUUACCAGUGUAAUUAGAAUGAAAAUAUAAUGUUUAACUUUCAUGGAGACAGACUGAAAUAUGAAUAGUCAUGUAGUUUUUUGAAAUUAAAUUUCUAUUCUAGGAGGCCAACACUCUACUCUCUCUGGCUUUCAAACUUCCACAUUAAGACUUGGGAAGUAAAAAUGCUUUGGGAAUGAAACUGGAUGAAUGGACAUGUUUGUGCCAGUAUUCUGGGGGGACUCUUUUUCCUCUCAAAAUCCCAGUAGAUCACUGGUCACGUUUAGAAUCUUCAAAUAUGUGCUAAAAAAAUGUUUUGGGGAGAAAACAAUCUCCCACUCUCCUUGCCGAGAUGGAAUUCCAAGAUUGUUGGGCAAGAUGAAGUAAACGAUUUUCAGGAGAAUCGCUGUUUUCCACACUGAAUUGACAUGCAUUUCUGCCUCACCUGGUUCCUACACACACCAGCCCCAACUAAUGUUAGGCUUUGAAUCACUGAAAUGCCUGCCACACCUUAACAGCAAAGAUUCAGACAAGAUAUUGAGUAAGCAAGUUUAUGAAUUUUUUUAAAGAGAAUGAUUUCUUAGUUAGACUUGUGUUCAACAAAAUAUUCUAGCAUGUGGUUUCACAAAUACAGGUGAACCAUCUGGCCAGCCUAGGUUAGCUCUCUGCUGUCAGUGCUGUAAAUCUUGCAUUCUCUUUCACUCAUGUUUCACACAUGGAAUUAACUCUUCUUUGUCCUCCUGUCCUGUUAUACAAUAGAAGCUCCAAGUCUUAUUCACAACUUUGAGUCUAGUGUGUGGCUGUAUAGAACAGAGAUUAAGAGCAUGGGUUCAAGGGUACGAUGGACCUGGAUUUGAAUUCAACCGAGCAACUUUUUGUGUGACUUAGAGGUAGUCACACCACAUUACUCAGUUUUCUCAUCUGUAAAUUGAUAAUAGUUCUUACCUCAUAGAACUAUUGUGAAAAUUAAAUUCACUCACAUAUGUAAAGCAUUUAGCUUGCCCCGGCAGUAAAUAUUCACUACUAUUAUUGCAUUAAGUGCUAAAAGAGUAUUUCAAGUAGAAUUUUUAAAAUAAGAGUGAGCCUAGGCACAGGGAAUGCAUCAAACUGGCCUCAUUAGGGAGAAUUCUCCAGCCAACUGGGAUAUUGCCUGACUGGGUUCUGGGAGGUCCUCAACUGAGACCACAAGGGGCAAAUGAGCAGAUCAUAAGCAGCCCUGGAGGCACCAGCUCUUAAGGUGUUAGCCCUCAUCUCCCCAGAGCAGUGGGAACUGAGUUACUCUGAGACUCUGUUCCCAAGAAGAAAGUGAUUCAGAGCAAAGGAGACAAGUUCCACUGUGGAGGAAGUGUGCCCAGGUCCCUCACCGGCCCCGGACAUGCCGUCUGGGAGGCUAUCAGCUCAGAGCCCACACCAGCUUCCUCUGCUAUUGUUCAGCACUCACCAUUCUUCUGAUAACCCGGCUGUGGGAACCACUGCCCAGACGCCGGGCCAACACAGAGGCACGACUACAGCUGGGAAGAGUCUCUCCUUCACAUGACGACUGAGCUCUGUAGGGGGUUGUGAUGGAGAAGACUGAGACGGGGCAAUCUAAGGCCCAAACGUGGCCCAGUGUUAAGCAUAUUGAGAAACCCAAUACCAAUCUGGUGAAUUGAAUAGUUUUGCAAAACUAAGGAAAAUUAACAGUCUCCACAAAAAAGUGUUUAUCCAAGUGUUAAAGUACUUAAUUGUUCUCAAAAAACCAAAUUGUCCCCAUUCUGAACAUUUUUUUGAACUUUCUCAAUUGCAGUUAGUCUUCUGGGACAUUGAAGAAGGCCUAGAACUCAAUCAAGGAACAAAAAUAUCUAAGCAUUGUAUUUAAAAAACAUGUGUUAGAGGUUUAUUACCUUAGGAGAUUUUUAAAUAUCAUUUAUCUGUUAAAUUUAGUUGUUGCAUCAGACAUUUUGCUCAUUUUUCCCUUUAAUAAUUA
RNAcentral lists this long non-coding RNA (3141 nucleotides) under Homo sapiens (human). RNAcentral describes it as "HSALNT0014456". The record is from RNAcentral. Lineage: Eukaryota; Metazoa; Chordata; Mammalia; Primates; Hominidae.